GACGAACGCUGGCGGCGUGCUUAACGCAUGCAAGUCGAACGGAAAGGCCCUGCUUUUGUGUGGUGCUCGAGUGGCGAACGGGUGAGUAACACGUGAGUAACCUGCCCUUGACUUUGGGAUAACUUCAGGAAACUGGGGCUAAUACCGGAUAGGAGCUCCUGCUGCAUGGUGGGGGUUGGAAAGUUUCGGCGGUUGGGGAUGGACUCGCGGCUUAUCAGCUUGUUGGUGGGGUAGUGGCUUACCGAGGCUUUGACGGGUAGCCGGCCUGAGAGGGUGACCGGCCACAUUGGGACUGAGAUACGGCCCAGACUCCUACGGGAGGCAGCAGUGGGGAAUAUUGCACAAUGGGCGGAAGCCUGAUGCAGCAACGCCGCGUGCGGGAUGACGGCCUUCGGGUUGUAAACCGCUUUCGCCUGUGACGAAGCGUGAGUGACGGUAAUGGGUAAAGAAGCACCGGCUAACUACGUG
RNAcentral lists this ribosomal RNA (468 nucleotides) under uncultured bacterium. Its description in RNAcentral is "partial 16S ribosomal RNA". It matches the Rfam family "Bacterial small subunit ribosomal RNA", at positions 28 to 507 of the family's 1533-position model. The record is from RNAcentral.